AACAGGGCAUACAAGGAAUUCAUAUACCUGUGUGUCUGAAUGGAUUCUAAAAACACUGAACAAGCAAACAUGCUUUGAAUAUGAAAAUAUUCAUAUUGACACUUCUUAAGAAAAAGCACAUUUAUAUAAUAUGUAUAUUAUAUACAUAUAUAAAGUAUAAGGAAGACGGGCCUGGAGAGAAACAUUCCCGAAGCAGUUAUACUGAGCAGGACUUGAGGGCACUGGGGUUGGGAGUGAUACUAAAGAGGAUUUGGAUUUAGGGACGCCUGGGGGGGCUCAGUGAUUGAGCAUCUGCCUUUAGCGCAGGGCGUGAUCCGGGUUCCCAGGUUAGAGUCCCACAUCGGGCUCCAUGCAUGGACCCUGCUUCUCCCUCUGCCUGUGUCUCCGCCUCUCUGUGUCUCUCAUGAAUAAAUAAAAUCUUAAAAAAAAAAUUGGAAUUUUGAAUUCCAGCAAAGAAAAAAAGGCAAAUGCAGUUACUGGUAUAAUUAAAAGUGGUACAACUGGAAGUAAGCAAGUAUUUUUUUAAAAAGUACCUAUGAUGAGAGGCGCCUAGGUGGCACAAGUUGGUUAAGUGUCUAGUUCUUGAUUUUAGCUCAUGAUCUCAGGGUUGUGAGAUCCAGCUCUGCAUCAGGUUCAUGGGCUGGGUGUGGGCACAGAGCCUGCUUAAGAUUCUCUCUCUCUCUCUCUCUCUCUCUCAACAUCCCCUCUGCCCCUCCUCGUGCCUCUCUCUCUAAAAAAAAAAAAAAAAAAGUGUUAAAAAUAUCUAAUGAAAAAAAGGCAUCAGCCUCUUCACUCCAUUGUUUAGAAAGUACAAUACUCUCCCUCCGCCUUGCCUCAUUUUGAGGACAUGAGUGGGACACAAGAACAUCCUGGCCACACCUCACUGACUUAUGGUCCUACCUACAUACGGAAACUCUCUGGAGCCUUUCAGGCCUUUUCACAGCCUGCUGUUUCUGGGGACCUGAGGGUCAAGUUGAAGCCUUUCCAACCCAGCUGUGCCCCAAGGUCCAGCUUGGGGUAAGCACAGCAUGCAAGGUGCUUGUGAUUUGCCCCUACCUCCUGUAUCUGCCAUGCACACCCUCAUGAACCCUCUCCACUCACCUCCCUAACCCCCACCCUCUACCCCACCAGCCUCUGUUUGCUCUGUUCAGUUCUAGCUCCUUCCCAUCCCACCCAAGGACACCACAUUCUGGCCCUGGCUGAGAAGUAAACAUGUAUGCUUUUGCCACCAAUAUUGGAAUGUUCAUCUCAGUAGAGUACAGUAUCAGAGCAGCAUGUGAGUUGCCAUGUUCCUGUAGAGUCAUUGAUGACAACGUCCUGCUAUAACAAAACACCACAGCCUGGGUAGUUUAUGAACAACAGAAAUGUAUUGCUACAGCUCUGAAGGCUGGAAGUUAAGAGAUCAAGAUAGCAUCAUGGCUAAAUAUGCCUAGAAAUGAACCAGGAAGAGGCAUCUACCUACAUUUCCCUGGGUAAAUGAGGUUAACAGAAUUUUCCUACUCUUCUUCUGUGGUAUAAUAAAAAAUAUAUUGGUCUUUGCCUCUA
Canis lupus familiaris (dog) is the source of this 1545-nucleotide long non-coding RNA. RefSeq lists it as uncharacterized. The record is from RefSeq and is a predicted model, not a curated record. The transcript is spliced from 3 exons. NCBI's taxonomy places the organism in Eukaryota, Metazoa, Chordata, Mammalia, Carnivora, Canidae.